This is a long non-coding RNA of Dermacentor albipictus, 1817 nucleotides long. RefSeq lists it as uncharacterized. NCBI's taxonomy places the organism in Eukaryota, Metazoa, Arthropoda, Arachnida, Ixodida, Ixodidae. The record is from RefSeq and is a predicted model, not a curated record.
UCGAUGCUUUAAACGGCCGAUUUCGACAUGUUGGAAUCGUUUCUCGUGCAGCUAGUGCCAUCCAGUGGUUAGUCUAGGCAGUGCACUUGUAGAACCAGUUUAAAUUUUCCCGCUCUGGCGACGUUCUGAUUUUUGAUGCGCCUUUUUGAGAACUAAUGUGCGCGUGUUGUUGCAAAAGGGGGCGUGGCGGCCGCGCUUGAGAAAAAAUACUGCCACUCGUGGUAAUUCAGCAUUAGCGUGAAAUUUUUGUGAUCAAAAGGCUCCCAGCAAGUCAAAUAUUGAAUCAUAUUGUCGGCUUUGUUAUCUGGCGGCGUUGAGUGGGGAUAAUUACCCGAAAAUGACGCCAGCUAUUCACUAGUGAGCUUUGACUUGGAGUUCGGGUCGUUUUAUUCCACGAAAACGCAUUCCUGAAGGUCCGCCUCAUGUCCAACAUGUAUACCUAGCCUUUACAGCCAGUUUGCAGCAGUUUUGGUUUCGCUUCUCUUGUUAAAUCCGCCAGAGGGCCGCAUCCGGUGUUACUAUCGCAACAACGCCAGUCGCUCCGGUCUCUGCCAUGGCGUCGUCGUCGGACGCAACUGCGCCGCGCGGAAAGCGUUCUGCUCGAAAGUAUUCUUCACCCGCACCUGAUUUUAGUGACGAGGAUUCGAGCUUCGAGUCCGAAGAUGACAGUACUUCUGCUUCAAGCUCUGACGGCGACGAUGUUUCGAGUCAGCUCGGGACAUCCGCAGCUGCUCACCGGGUCCGUACGUCGCUAGGCCAGGAUGUGCUGCCACCGGCUGUGAAGAAACUUCAGUUCACGCCAACAAGGCCGCCCGGAGCACAUCUCGGCCCAGCACUUCGGAGCAGCGCAAGACGCUUUACAACGGCGCGCGAUUUUUUCCUCCUGUUCUUCACCGCAGAAGUAAUAAAUACUAUCUGCAAGAACACGAAUAAAUAUGCUUGGAUGCAUAUUUUGGAGCUUCCAAGCUAUGCUGAAAGAGAUGGGUCGUGGAAGGAAGUGAAUCCCGACGAAUUAGUGAAGUUCAUUGGACUGCUCAUUUAUAGGAAAGGAAAGAGAAGGAAAGAAGAGAAGAGGCGGCGUGUGGACUAUCAUCCCAAUCGAAAAGCCGGUGCUGAUUGACGACUAUAAUUCCGGGAUGCUUGGAGUUGAUAAGUCGGAUCAGCUGAUUGCAUCCUAUAACGUUUUGAUGAAGUGCGUGAGGUGGUGGAAGACGCUCUUCUUUCAUUGUAUUGACAUGGCUGUUGUGAAUAGCUUCAUUCUUUUUCAAGAGCACCGCCAGCAACACCUCUCAACACCGGAAUUGCAGAGGAGCGCCCACUUCGACCAACUUUCUUUUCGGAUGGAGCUCACCCAACAGCUGCUCGAGCUUGAUGAUGAAGAGGUUCCCAGAGUGCAUCCUGUCCCAAAAGAAGUGCCGCACCAUCCGCAAAAGAUGCCGAAAAGGCGAAACUGAAGGAUGUGCUAUCAGGAACGCAAAAUCGAACAAAAGACAAACGUUUUCUGCGAAAACUGCGAAGUGCACCUGUGCCUCACGAAAACGCGCAUCUGCUUCACCGCAUGGCACGAGCGCUGAAGCUGUUCCCGGUCUUUACUUUUUUUUAUGUAGCUGAAGAACGGCGCGGUACAGAGAAUUAAUUUUUAUAGACAGUAUUCCUGAGUCAUUGAUCUUCAAAAUGUAUAUUCUAAAUUUUCUUUCUUAAUAAUGUGUAUGUAGAUAUUGUGCCUUUUCUUUCUUGUUUUUAUCAACUCGCCACAAAAAUGGCACUUUUCCGAAUUUUUUGUAUGUUCCCUAAUAAAUUGUUUGCUUUGUAACUUA